CGCGGGAGUCGCGGCGCUGCGGGUAGGAGCCGGGUUGCGGGAGACCCCAGGUUCGGUUGGGAUUCCCAGCCAGAACGGAGCUUAAGCCGGGCAGGCGAGCGAAUGACGGAGUAGCGAGCUGCACGGCGGCGUGCUGCGCUGUUGAGGACGCUGUCCCGCGCGCUCCCAGGCCGCCCCGGGGCUUGGGGUCUUCGAAGGAUAAUCGGCGCCCGGGGCCGAACAGCGGGGGCACACGGGGCGCUGCCGAAGUGCAAGGCCACGGCCAGAGCUCGAGCCCGACGCGCUGUCUGGAGUCGUAGGUUGGCGCCGUUUGGGGUCAGGGUCUGAGGCUUGGGCGCUGCCUGGGCCGAGCGGAGAUCGGGGUUUGCCUCCCGUCCCCGCUCAGGACCCUGACGUGGCUGAAGCGGCCCCGGGAGCAUGAGCGGGCAGCGCGUGGACGUCAAGGUGGUGAUGCUGGGCAAGGAGUACGUGGGCAAGACUAGCCUGGUGGAGCGCUACGUGCACGACCGCUUUCUGGUGGGGCCUUAUCAGAACGUGAGUGCAUCCGGAGGGGCCAGGCACGGUGGGCGAGGGAGUGGGGGGCCGGUAAUCUGCACCUAUGGCCCCGAUCUCUUCCCUCUCGUUGCAGACCAUCGGGGCCGCCUUCGUGGCCAAGGUGAUGUCGGUCGGAGACCGGACUGUGACAUUAGGUAUUUGGACCUCACAGACAGCAGCAGCUUUGAGCGAGCAAAGUUCUGGGUGAAGGAACUGCGCAGCCUAGAGGAGGUAGGUGAACAGACCUCACUAGAACACUAGGGGCUGGGGUUUUGUUGGCCUGUGGAGGUGACCCUUGUCUUCUGCCUCAGGGCUGCCAAAUCUACUUAUGUGGCACCAAGAGUGACCUGCUGGAAGAAGACCGGAGGCGUCGACGUGUGGACUUCCAUGACGUCCAGGACUAUGCAGACAGUAGCUGCUCCUCAGCCCUUUGGGGGGUGGGGGUGUGUGGCUGUCUGGGUGGAUCAAAGAAAAUAGGGACUGCCUUGGCUGCCAGGGCAAGGUGCUCUAGGAGGUCUUCCUGGCCUCCUUGAACUGUGGGGUCCAGGAGACUCCCUGAACUGCUAGCCCUCCCUUUUGUCUGUUUAUCUAAUUCUCAGGUAUGAGGCUUUAGUCACUUCUCUUUACAGAUAUCAAAGCUCAGCUCUUUGAAACAUCCAGCAAGACAGGCCAGAGUGUGGGUGAGUGCUGUGCUGGAGCCUCACAGCAGGAACAUGCAGGGGCACCAGAGGAAGCUGAAUAGGGCACAGAGGGCUGGGUCACUGGGAGAUCCCAGGGCUACUGGCAUUGGGCCCUCGCUGAUCAUCAUUUUUCCUGCCAGACGAGCUCUUCCAGAAAGUGGCAGAGGAUUACGUCAGUGUGGCUGCCUUCCAGGUGAUGACAGAGGACAAGGGCGUGGAUCUGGGCCAGAAGCCAAACCCCUACUUCUACAGCUGUUGUCAUCACUGAGUCAGCACUCACCUGGCCUGGGGGAAUUAAAGGAAUUCCCCGUAAGGGCUGGACCCAGCUCCUUUCUGGGCUUGGGUAGUCAAAUGUCUGAGCUACCCCAGGUCCUCAUGUCAGCAGAGUGGCGCCUGCCUGUGCUGGCCCAUGGAACGGAGACAGCAUUGGGCUGACUGUGGGCAUGAGGAGGGAUAAGGGCUGAUUUGGACCCCAGGCUUCUGCCCUGGACAGCACUUGUGUCUGCAGA
RNAcentral lists this small RNA (1723 nucleotides) under Pan troglodytes (chimpanzee). Its description in RNAcentral is "retained intron". Lineage: Eukaryota; Metazoa; Chordata; Mammalia; Primates; Hominidae. The record is from RNAcentral.